This 253-nucleotide ribosomal RNA is filed under the name uncultured bacterium. RNAcentral describes it as "partial 16S ribosomal RNA". It matches the Rfam family "Bacterial small subunit ribosomal RNA", at positions 524 to 776 of the family's 1533-position model. The record is from RNAcentral.
UACGUAGGGGGCAAGCGUUGUCCGGAAUUAUUGGGCGUAAAGAGCGUGUAGGCGGUCCGGUAAGUCAGCUGUGAAAGUCCAGGGCUCAACCCUGGAAUGCCGGUGGAUACUGCCGGGCUAGAGUCCGGAAGAGGCGAGUGGAAUUCCUGGUGUAGCGGUGAAAUGCGCAGAUAUCAGGAGGAACACCGGUGGCGAAGGCGGGUCUCUGGGCCGAUACUGACGCUGAGGAGCGAAAGCGUGGGGAGCGAACAGG